GCCUGGGUAGCUCAGUGGUAGAGCAGGGGCCUGAAGAGCCUCGUGUCGAUGGUUCGAUUCCGUCUCCAGGCACCA
Molecule: transfer RNA, 75 nt
Filed under: Candidatus Berkelbacteria bacterium
Lineage: Bacteria; Candidatus Berkelbacteria
Description: tRNA-Phe
Rfam family: tRNA
About the family: Transfer RNA (tRNA) molecules are approximately 80 nucleotides in length. Their secondary structure includes four short double-helical elements and three loops (D, anti-codon, and T loops). Further hydrogen bonds mediate the characteristic L-shaped molecular structure. tRNAs have two regions of fundamental functional importance: the anti-codon, which is responsible for specific mRNA codon recognition, and the 3' end, to which the tRNAs corresponding amino acid is attached (by aminoacyl-tRNA synthetases). tRNAs cope with the degeneracy of the genetic code in two manners: having more than one tRNA (with a specific anti-codon) for a particular amino acid; and 'wobble' base-pairing, i.e. permitting non-standard base-pairing at the 3rd anti-codon position.
Source: RNAcentral